RNAcentral lists this ribosomal RNA (492 nucleotides) under uncultured bacterium. Its description in RNAcentral is "partial 16S ribosomal RNA". It matches the Rfam family "Bacterial small subunit ribosomal RNA", at positions 29 to 507 of the family's 1533-position model. The record is from RNAcentral.
AGUGAACGCUGGCGGUGGGCCUAAUACAUGCAAGUCGAACGACCGCACAGUAAGCGCUUGUUUUUAAGGGUGGCGACUGGCGGAUGGGUGAGGAGUACAUAGCCAUCUACUUAUACGUGGAGGACAUCGUAGGGCAAGUUACGCUAACACCGAAUAUGACCUACGGGUGAAUGCAGGGGUGCAACGGACUUUGCGUGAUACUAUGAGCUGAAGCCGAAUUAGCUAGUUGGCGGGGUAAAGGCCCACCAAGGCGACGAUCCGUAGCUGGGCUGAGAGGAUGAUCAGCCACACUGGAACUGAGACACGGUCCAGACUCCUACGGGAGGCAGCAGUAGGGAAUAUUGGGCAAUGGGCGCAAGCCUGAUCCAGCCAUACCGCGUGGGUGAAGAAGGCCUUCGGGUUGUAAAGCCCUGUUGUUGGGGAAGAAAAUCUGCGGGUUAAAAUCCCGCUGUUCUGACGUUACCCAAAGAGUAAGCACCGGCUAACUUCGUG